This 253-nucleotide ribosomal RNA is filed under the name uncultured bacterium. Its description in RNAcentral is "partial 16S ribosomal RNA". It matches the Rfam family "Bacterial small subunit ribosomal RNA", at positions 524 to 776 of the family's 1533-position model. The record is from RNAcentral.
UACGGAGGGUGCAAGCGUUAUCCGGAUUCACUGGGUUUAAAGGGUGCGUAGGUGGGUUGAUAAGUCAGUGGUGAAAUCCCCGAGCUUAACUUGGGAACUGCCAUUGAUACUAUUGAUCUUGAAUACCGUGGAGGUCAGCGGAAUAUGUCAUGUAGCGGUGAAAUGCUUAGAUAUGACAUAGAACACCAAUUGCGAAGGCAGCUGGCUACGCGAAUAUUGACGCUGAGGCUCGAAAGCGUGGGGAUCAAACAGG